UCUUGCUACAGAUGUCACACCACAGUCGUAUGACACAUGCAAAGCACCCAAGAGCUACAGAUUGCGUACUGAGAAAACUUAUCACAACCUCUGUACACUGUCCUUUGCUACAACAGCAAUGCUCAACAAGCAAGUAAACUUUGUUUUGUCUAUUGUUAUCGCUAUUUUGGAGUCGCUCUCUGGUGAUCAAACAUUACUUUGCCCAACAUACAGAGAAGACUUAGAUAUUAUACUGUACAAACAAAAUAUUACGGUGUAUCAACUUGUUGGAUCUCGGAUCACAUUUCGUGCAAAUCGAUCCGACAUAAGACUACGAGUUACGCCGUCUAGUAACUUUCGUUGGACUGUCAACACUUUUGAAAAUAA
Long non-coding RNA from Corticium candelabrum, 366 nucleotides. RefSeq lists it as uncharacterized. Lineage: Eukaryota; Metazoa; Porifera; Homoscleromorpha; Homosclerophorida; Plakinidae. The record is from RefSeq and is a predicted model, not a curated record. The transcript is spliced from 3 exons.